AGCGAACGCUGGCGGCAGGCCUAACACAUGCAAGUCGAACGGACCUUUCGGGGUUAGUGGCGGACGGGUGAGUAACACGUGGGAACGUGCCUUUAGGUUCGGAAUAAGCUCGGGAAACUGGGUCUAAUACCGAAUGUGCCCUUCGGGGGAAAGAUUUAUCGCCUUUAGAGCGGCCCGCGUCUGAUUAGCUAGUUGGUGGUGUAAUGGACCACCAAGGCGACGAUCAGUAGCUGGUCUGAGAGGAUGAUCAGCCACACUGGGAUUGAGAUACGGCCCAGACUCCUACGGGAGGCAGCAGUAAGGAAUAUUGGACAAUGGGGGAAACCCUGAUCCAGCAAUGCCGCGUGAAUGAAGAA
This 356-nucleotide ribosomal RNA is filed under the name uncultured bacterium. RNAcentral's name for it is "bacterial SSU rRNA". It matches the Rfam family "Bacterial small subunit ribosomal RNA", at positions 29 to 412 of the family's 1533-position model. The record is from RNAcentral.